AUGAGAGCAGCAUUGCUCACGUCCGUUCAUGACUAUCCAGGUUAUAGAUAUAUCUUCGGACAUGCAUGCCAUGGACAGUGCGAUUGUGUUAAAUGUAUGGAUGACACAUCUUUUCGGCAGCUAUCAAAAAAGGUCAGUAGGAAAACCGUGUUCAUGGGCCAUAGAAGGUGUCUUGACAAAGAGGGUGAGUGGAGAACUCAUGGAGAUCUUUUUGACAACACUAAUGAGACCCGAGGGCUACCGUCUAAGGGGUCUGGAGCAGCAAUCAUGGAAAUGUUAAUGAAUUGGGAAGAUUGCCCUAAGCCAGGAAAAAAAAGAAAGAAGUCCCCUGAGAAAAUCUGCUAA
This 345-nucleotide ribosomal RNA is filed under the name Triticum aestivum (bread wheat). Its description in RNAcentral is "partial small subunit ribosomal RNA". The record is from RNAcentral. Lineage: Eukaryota; Viridiplantae; Streptophyta; Magnoliopsida; Poales; Poaceae.